UACGUAGGACACGAGCGUUAUCCGGAUUUACUGGGCGUAAAGCGCCUGUAGGCGGUUAGAUAAGUCGGCUGUGAAAGCCCUGGGCUUAACCCGGGGAGGCCAGGCGAUACUGUCUGACUUGAGGGUGACAGAGGGGAGUGGAAUUCCCGGUGUAGCGGUAAAAUGCGCAGAUAUCGGGAGGAACACCAGUGGCGAAGGCGGCUCCCUGGGUCACCCCUGACGCUGAGAGGCGAAAGCUAGGGGAGCGAACAGGAUUAGAGACCCUGGUAGUCCUAGCCCUAAACGCUGGAUGCUAGGUGUGGGAUCGAGAGGUUCCGUGCCACAGCUAACGCGAUAAGCAUCCCGCCUGGGGACUACGGCCGCAAGGCUAAA
This 372-nucleotide ribosomal RNA is filed under the name uncultured Chloroflexota bacterium. RNAcentral describes it as "bacterial SSU rRNA". It matches the Rfam family "Bacterial small subunit ribosomal RNA", at positions 524 to 898 of the family's 1533-position model. The record is from RNAcentral. Lineage: Bacteria; Bacillati; Chloroflexota.